Long non-coding RNA from Carassius carassius (crucian carp), 480 nucleotides. RefSeq lists it as uncharacterized. The record is from RefSeq and is a predicted model, not a curated record. The transcript has 3 exons. NCBI's taxonomy places the organism in Eukaryota, Metazoa, Chordata, Actinopteri, Cypriniformes, Cyprinidae.
CUCUGGAUCUGUCUCAUUACUUUACCCACUUUCCCUCUUCCAACUCCAAUCCCAUUUAUGGAAAAGAAGUAAAUGGGGAAGCUGACAGAAUCUAUUCCAGUCAGAGGCUGUUCCUUCCUGCUCGGUGCAGUUCGGAUGCCUGGUAACCAGGUCUCUCCACCUGCACCUCAUCCUUCCCUCUGCCUCAACCACCCAUCUGAAUAAUUAAAUUAUCAUUGAAGCUCAAGAUGUCUCAAACGAACGCUGAGGCACACAUCAUUAAAGUCACUGAGGGGGAACAGAGAUCUGCCAGCUCAAUGGAUGGCCAUGUCCGGAAUGCUCUCUAUCCCCUCUAAUCCCACAUCAAGGCCCUUCCUCUCCACUCUGACAUCAGUCAAGUCCACCUGUAGAGAUCAGCCUUCUUCCUUCUCUGUAGUCUAUGGCCACCGACUCAUACUGCAUGAAGAGCCAUAUGCACAAGCUUCAAUAAGGUAUUGAUUC